AAUCUGGUUGCAGCAAAAAUUAAAUUAAUUUCAUAAAUUAGAAUUUAUAAUACAUCAUGUUAUCAUAUUUCUAUUCCUUUACAUACAUGUCAUUAUUACUAUAUAUAUAUAUAUUGUGCACUAACAAGUACUAACUUAUCAAUGAAAUGCUAUAUACUAACGUUAACGAGGCCGGGAUAAGGUACCGGUACUUCAUGUAUCUCUAACAAAUGUAAAAUUC
RNAcentral lists this long non-coding RNA (220 nucleotides) under Mytilus galloprovincialis (Mediterranean mussel). Lineage: Eukaryota; Metazoa; Mollusca; Bivalvia; Mytilida; Mytilidae. The record is from RNAcentral.